GUUUGUCAUGCAUAAGGAUGUGACUGCACAAUCAGACGACCAGAAUCCUGGGACAAGAAUGGUGGUGAUGUCAACAGAGAAAGCUAGGCGUGGCAAGCACCGCCUUGGUGCUCCUGGGCAGCACUCUGGCCUGUGGUGAGAAACAGUGAACUUCUGCUCCAUUCCAUUUGGAACAAAUAUUUAUGUAAUUUGCAUCUUCAAGUCACAGAAUCCAGGAACAAAUAACCUCAGAGACUGAAAACAUUAGGAAAUGACCAUGAAAGCAAAACAACCAGGAAAGGAGACCAAGUGGCACUGAAAUGUCUACAUAGAAAGUGACUGCAGUUGCUCUGCAUUCUCUCCCUAAUGAGCCACCUAACUGGACGUGGAACACUCCUGCCAGCAGCAAUAGAAUCAGCAUCUCUGUGCUAGUAAUAAGGACUUUCUACUGGUUUUACAUUUGCUUUUGUGUUUUGAAACUAAUGUUUAGUGCUUCAUAGAAGAUGAAUCUGUCUUUAACAUUAGAAAUUUCCAGUACUGCUGAAUUUGCAAGGAGUAAGGUUGUGUCCCAUGAAAAUGAUAGCGAAUCCAAGCUGAAUGCCGUAAUUUGAACACGUUAGUCUAUCUUCCUGGUACUCUUUGAAUCUGAAUGUACAUGUCUCUUGAAAAGGACCAUGCCAGUGUCUAUCAGGAGAUGGAAAAAGAAGUUUCAUGAAAACAGCCAUCUUUCAAGAAAGCCUGUUCCGGAGAUUCUUGGUGAAGGAUUUGUCCCACCCCUGACCUCUGUAAGCCCCCACUGCCUCCCACACAAACUCAGCUUCCCCUUUGACCUCAGGAGACCUAAUAGUCUGUUUCUCAUUUGUACCUCUUCCUUCAGCUAA
RNAcentral lists this long non-coding RNA (860 nucleotides) under Chinchilla lanigera (long-tailed chinchilla). Its description in RNAcentral is "lncRNA (ENSCLAG00000024015.1)". The record is from RNAcentral. Lineage: Eukaryota; Metazoa; Chordata; Mammalia; Rodentia; Chinchillidae.